Molecule: transfer-messenger RNA, 367 nt
Filed under: Ignavibacteria
Lineage: Bacteria; Pseudomonadati; Ignavibacteriota
Also listed under: 1 other name
Description: JAEUSI01 sp016709315 Standard tmRNA
Rfam family: transfer-messenger RNA
About the family: Bacterial tmRNA, also known as 10Sa RNA or SsrA, is named for its dual tRNA and mRNA-like properties. Its role is to liberate the mRNA from a stalled ribosome.
Source: RNAcentral
GGGAAUGCAACGGUUUCGACGGAAUGAAAGAUGGUUAAAACUGCAUAUAGUGUUCCUGCCAGCACUUUAAAAAGGUAGAAAAACAAUAAACAACAACAAUAACGUAGAAUAUAACUACGCAAUGGCUGCUUAAUUUAAAGCAACCUCGCUUUAGGGAUUCUCUCUCACCGGAGUUUCUGAAGUGUCAAAACAGAUGAGAUAGUCCGUAUGAUCGUCUGAGUUAUACGGGCAAAACUUAAUCAGAAUAGCAAUUACUUUGGCUUGUCUGUCUGCCUGAGUGUUGUGAAAAUUAAAGUACAGACUAUAUAUGUAGAGGUUUUAAUGGUCUUCUUUUCGGACCCGAGUUCGACUCUCGGCAUUUCCACUA